AUGAGAAGAAGAUUGGCAGAACAUUUAUCUUACAUUCCCAGAUCUCUUUCCUUGAUACAACUCAAGGAAAUGUCCUCAGUUUCUGCUGGUCAUGGACGCCGGCCAAAGAAGAAGCUUUAUCACCGUGAGCCUGGCCUCGACAAGGCCAUGGACCUCCAAAAGAAGCCCGCUCUCCUCCUUCGUCUCCGUGAGCUCAUCUUGGCCCAAAAGAAAGGAUCACUACUUGUACGUGACCUUGAAAAGGAGGUUGGCUUUGUCCAAAAAUGGAACUUUGUUUCACUUAUCGAGCGCCACCCCAAUAUCUUCCAUGUCUUUGGUGGAAGUACAUCACGUGAGCCCAUUGCUGUCACGCUUACUGAGAAGGCCAGAAAUAUUUCUGGUGAAGAGAUUCAGGCACAGGAGCUAAUGGAACCUAUCUUGGUAAGAAAUCUGAGGAAGCUGUUAAUGAUGUCAAUGGACUGCCAAAUCCCUUUAGAGAAGAUUGAGCUCAUCCAACCUGAAUUGGGUUUACCAAAAAACUUCAAGGACAAGUUGAUUCCUAGUUACCCUGAUUUUUUUUCAAUCCGUGAUGUGAGAGGCUUGGACCAUCUGUGUUUGGAGAGUUGGGAUUCUUCACUAGCAGUCACAGCACGAGAAGGAAAAUUGAAUUUUGAUGGUUUCCAAAUGGAUUAUAGAGGGGUUCCUAAAGAUGGGAAUAUACUGGGUGCUUUUGCUUUCAAGUUAAAAUAUCCAGCAGGAUUUAGGCCCAACCGCAAGUACCUUGAGGAGGUAGUCAGGUGGCAGAAGAUGGCAUUUCCUUCACCUUAUCUGAAUGCUAGGAGAGUGGAGCCUGCAACUCCACAGGCUCGAAAGCGAUCUGUUGCUGUUCUACAUGAGAUCUUAAGCUUGACAAUGCAGAAACGACUGACAUCUGAUAAGCUAGAAGUCUUCCAUGAUGAGUACAGGCUGCCAUGCAAGCUACUUCUUUGCUUAGUAAAAAAUCAUGGUAUCUUCUACAUCACUAACAAGGGAGCAAGAAGUACCGUCUUCCUCAAGGAGGCCUACGAUGAUACUAACCUCAUUGAGAAGUGUCCUCUUCUGAAAUUCCAUGAUCAGUUUUCAUCUUUAAUUGGCCGAUCAUGCUCCGACUUAAAUACUCCACUGGCAGUAUAG
This 1152-nucleotide ribosomal RNA is filed under the name Triticum aestivum (bread wheat). RNAcentral's name for it is "partial small subunit ribosomal RNA". The record is from RNAcentral. Lineage: Eukaryota; Viridiplantae; Streptophyta; Magnoliopsida; Poales; Poaceae.